RNAcentral lists this ribosomal RNA (412 nucleotides) under uncultured Burkholderia sp. RNAcentral describes it as "bacterial SSU rRNA". It matches the Rfam family "Bacterial small subunit ribosomal RNA", at positions 504 to 917 of the family's 1533-position model. The record is from RNAcentral. Lineage: Bacteria; Pseudomonadati; Pseudomonadota; Betaproteobacteria; Burkholderiales; Burkholderiaceae.
UGUGCCAGCAGCCGCGGUAAUACGUAGGGUGCAAGCGUUAAUCGGAAUUACUGGGCGUAAAGCGUGCGCAGGCGGUUCGCUAAGACAGAUGUGAAAUCCCCGGGCUUAACCUGGGAACUGCAUUUGUGACUGGCGGGCUAGAGUAUGGCAGAGGGGGGUAGAAUUCCACGUGUAGCAGUGAAAUGCGUAGAGAUGUGGAGGAAUACCGAUGGCGAAGGCAGCCCCCUGGGCCAAUACUGACGCUCAUGCACGAAAGCGUGGGGAGCAAACAGGAUUAGAUACCCUGGUAGUCCACGCCCUAAACGAUGUCAACUAGUUGUUGGGUCUUCAUUGACUUAGUAACGUAGCUAACGCGUGAAGUUGACCGCCUGGGGAGUACGGUCGCAAGAUUAAAACUCAAAUAAAUUACGGG